UACGAAGGGGGCUAGCGUUGCUCGGAAUCACUGGGCGUAAAGCGCACGUAGGCGGAUUGUUAAGUCAGGGGUGAAAUCCUGGAGCUCAACUCCAGAACUGCCUUUGAUACUGACGGUCUUGAGUUCGGGAGAGGUGAGUGGAACUGCGAGUGUAGAGGUGAAAUUCGUAGAUAUUCGGAAGAACACCAGUGGCGAAGGCGGCUCACUGGUCCGGUACUGACGCUGAGGUGCGAAAGCGUGGGGAGCAAACAGG
RNAcentral lists this ribosomal RNA (253 nucleotides) under uncultured bacterium. RNAcentral describes it as "partial 16S ribosomal RNA". It matches the Rfam family "Bacterial small subunit ribosomal RNA", at positions 524 to 776 of the family's 1533-position model. The record is from RNAcentral.